Molecule: long non-coding RNA, 351 nt
Organism: Anoplophora glabripennis (Asian longhorned beetle)
Lineage: Eukaryota; Metazoa; Arthropoda; Insecta; Coleoptera; Cerambycidae
Exons: 2
Source: RefSeq, a predicted model, not a curated record
UAAAAGAACUUUGCUGUUCUCGAAUAUUAACAGUACCAAUAAAGCCACUUUUAAAAGUCAAAUACAUUUUUGUCAACUAGUCAAUCAAGAUGAAGUUCUUCGGCGUUUUGUUCAUGGCUGUCCUUGUCCUUCUCGGGCUUCAAGAUACCUACGCCUGCAUAAAAAAUCGUGACGGUUGCCAACCUGACGGAAGUCAAGGUAAUUGUUGUUCAGGAUUUUGUCACAAGCAACCAGGAUGGGUAGCUGGCUACUGCAAAUAAAUUGUUUACUUAUUAAAAACGACGCUAUUGGACAUUGGGAUAUACUGUUAUGUGUUACAAAAUCAUAUGCGUGAAUAAAUUGGUACAAUCA